Molecule: ribosomal RNA, 274 nt
Filed under: uncultured bacterium
Lineage: Bacteria
Description: partial 16S ribosomal RNA
Rfam family: Bacterial small subunit ribosomal RNA
Source: RNAcentral
AUACGGAGGUUGCAAGCGUUGUUCGGAAUUACUGGGCGUAAAGGGAGCGCAGGCGGUCUGGUCAGUCUGAAGUGAAAGCCCGGGGCUCAACCCCGGAACUGCUUUGGAUACUGCCAGACUUGAGUAUGUGAGAGGUGAGCGGAAUUUCAGGUGUAGCGGUGAAAUGCGUAGAUAUCUGAAGGAACAUCGAUGGCGAAAGCAGCUCACUGGCACAAGACUGACGCUGAGGCUCGAAAGCGUGGGGAGCGAACGGGAUUAGAAACCCCAGUAGUCC